GGAGCAUAAUUGGACGUUAAAGCUGCCGAAACAAGCUAAGUAUGCCCAUGAGGAAGGUUAACACGGCCAUGUUGGAUUCAACACUGGCCGUGUUCCCAACAUAGCCACCAACACGGCCGUGUUGGAUGCAACAAACAUCAAAGAAAAAAAAGUUUUUAGGGAGCACGGCCACAAAGAGUAACACGGGCAUCAACACCAUAACGUGUUGGGAACACGGGCAUCAACACGGCCAUGUUC
RNAcentral lists this long non-coding RNA (237 nucleotides) under Ricinus communis (castor bean). Its description in RNAcentral is "long non-coding RNA (RCOM_LNC001509)". The record is from RNAcentral. Lineage: Eukaryota; Viridiplantae; Streptophyta; Magnoliopsida; Malpighiales; Euphorbiaceae.